Molecule: unclassified non-coding RNA, 535 nt
Filed under: Hevea brasiliensis (rubber tree)
Lineage: Eukaryota; Viridiplantae; Streptophyta; Magnoliopsida; Malpighiales; Euphorbiaceae
Source: RNAcentral
GAUAUUGCUGCUGAAGCUUGAAAGUUGCAGACUUAGAACUAGGGUUUCAGCAAGAUGAUCAUUCCAGUGCGCUGUUUCACCUGCGGGAAGGUUAUUGGCAACAAAUGGGAUGAAUACCUUGAUCUUCUCCAAGCUGAUUACGCCGAAGGGGAUGCACUUGAUGCACUGAAUUUGGUUAGAUAUUGCUGUCGUAGAAUGCUUAUGACUCAUGUUGAUCUCAUUGAGAAGCUUCUCAACUACAACACACUGGAGAAAUCUGAGGGAAGUUGAAGCAAUUUCCUGAACUAAUGAGCUCCAAAUGUUUAUAUCUAGACCAUCUACUUCUUAGCUGUAAUUCUCUUUCUAGUUGUAAGGAGGUGAAGUAAAUUGUUCCCAUAUGAAGGGAGUCUUAUGAAUCGUGUAACCAGUAAACAGUGUGAUACUGCAAGCUACUCUUGAUGUUUUGUUGGUUCUGAAUCUCCUGGUUUCCUAUUUAACAAUAUAUAUGCUGGUGUAGUGGCACUCUAAACUUAGAAGUUGAACCUUUUCUACAAAC